GAACGCGAAGAACCUUACCUGGGCUUGACAUACACCGGACCGCAUCUGAAAGGAUGCUUCCCUUCGGGGUCGGUGAACAGGUGCUGCAUGGCUGUCGUCAGCUCGUGCCGUGAGGUGUUGGGUUAAGUCCGGUAACGAGCGCAACCCCUGCCCUUAGUUGCCAUCGGGUAAUGCCGGGAACUCUAAGGGGACUGCCUUGGUUAACGAGGAGGAAGGUGGGGACGACGUCAAGUCAUCACGGCCUUUAUGUCCAGGGCUACACACGUGCUACAAUGGCCGGCACAAAGGGCUGCGAACCCGCGAGGGGGAGCCAAUCCCAAAAAUCCGGCCUCAGUUCGGAUUGCAGUCUGCAACUCUACUGCAUGAAGUUGGAAUCGCUAGUAAUCGCGAAUCAGCAGGUCGCGGUGAAUACGUUCCCGGGUCUUGUACACACCG
Molecule: ribosomal RNA, 435 nt
Filed under: uncultured bacterium
Lineage: Bacteria
Description: bacterial SSU rRNA
Rfam family: Bacterial small subunit ribosomal RNA
Source: RNAcentral